GAGGGGUCACGUGGGGCGCGCGGGGGACGGACCGGGGCGCGCGCGGUCCGGGGGGACGCUGGAGGGAGGGCGCGGGAUGGAGGGAUCGCGGGGGUCCCAGGACGGAGAGGUCGCGCCGGGCGCGCUCGGAACACGCAGGAAAUUCUCCCCGAGGCGUGGGCUCCGCGGGGCUUCCCCGCCGGUUCGCUGAGUCCCAGCUCCGCUCGGCCGGGACCUCCGUGGCAGGCUCGGGGAGCCCGCGGGGGGCAGAGGCGCCGACCUCCGCCUGGGACCGAGAGGAACCCGCGCCCUGCCCUGCCCCGCCCGGCGCGCGUGGGCCUGAGUCAGGCGCCUCAGCACGGGGACCCCCGGGCCGGCCUUCACGCCGCAGAGCCGCUGCAGGUGAGACUGUGGCCCACAGACACUGCUUGCAGCAGGCAGAGGAUGUGGGAGCCUCGUGGGAACCCCCCCGACUUGUCCACUGAAGUAACAGCAGCAAUGACCUUCCCUCGGGAAUUCCACCUCUGCGUUUUUCCCUCCAGAUGGAAUCUCGCUCUGUCGCCCAGGCUGGAGUGCAGUGGCGCGAUCCUGGCUCACUGCAAGCUCCGCCUCCCAGGUUCACGCCAUUCUCCUGCCUCAGCCUCCCGAGUAGCUGGGACUACAGGCGCCUGCCAACACACCCGGCUAAUUUUUUGUAUUUUUAGUAGAGACGGGGUUUCACCAUGUUAGCCAGGAUGGUCUCGAUUUCCUGACCUCGUGAUCUGCCCAUCUCAGCCUCUCAAAGUGCUGGGAUUACAGGCGUGAGCCACCGCGCCCGGCCUACUCUGAAUAUUUAUGCAACUUUUAG
This 826-nucleotide long non-coding RNA is filed under the name Homo sapiens (human). Its description in RNAcentral is "PREDICTED lncRNA (TCONS_00092461)". Lineage: Eukaryota; Metazoa; Chordata; Mammalia; Primates; Hominidae. The record is from RNAcentral.